Molecule: ribosomal RNA, 447 nt
Filed under: uncultured bacterium
Lineage: Bacteria
Description: bacterial SSU rRNA
Rfam family: Bacterial small subunit ribosomal RNA
Source: RNAcentral
UGGGGAAUCUUGCGCAAUGGGCGAAAGCCUGACGCAGCCAUGCCGCGUGGAUGAUGAAGGUCUUAGGAUUGUAAAAUCCUUUCACCGGUGAAGAUAAUGACUGUAGCCGGAGAAGAAGCCCCGGCUAACUUCGUGCCAGCAGCCGCGGUAAUACGAAGGGGGCUAGCGUUGCUCGGAAUUACUGGGCGUAAAGGGAGCGUAGGCGGACAUUUAAGUCAGGGGUGAAAUCCCAGAGCUCAACUCUGGAACUGCCUUUGAUACUGGGUGUCUUGAGUGUGAUAGAGGUAUGUGGAACUCCGAGUGUAGAGGUGAAAUUCGUAGAUAUUCGGAAGAACACCAGUGGCGAAGGCGACAUACUGGAUCAUUACUGACGCUGAGGCGCGAAAGCGUGGGUAGCAAACAGGAUUAGAUACCCACGUAGUCCCUGAGCGGGCUGGCAAGGCGCAU